GGAUCUAAAUGAUGCAAAACUUUGAAACAAACUUAGGACACCUUCUGACAUGGUGCUUGUGCUAUGAAUGAGAAGGCAAUUCUUUCCUGAUGGUACU
RNAcentral lists this small nucleolar RNA (97 nucleotides) under Setaria italica (foxtail millet). RNAcentral describes it as "Small nucleolar RNA snoR31/Z110/Z27". It matches the Rfam family "Small nucleolar RNA snoR31/Z110/Z27". Rfam says of the family: This family contains several related snoRNAs including R31, Z27 and Z110. Family members belong to the C/D class of snoRNAs which contain the C (UGAUGA) and D (CUGA) box motifs. Most of the members of the box C/D family function in directing site-specific 2'-O-methylation of substrate RNAs. Lineage: Eukaryota; Viridiplantae; Streptophyta; Magnoliopsida; Poales; Poaceae. The record is from Rfam by way of RNAcentral.